Molecule: ribosomal RNA, 339 nt
Filed under: Triticum aestivum (bread wheat)
Lineage: Eukaryota; Viridiplantae; Streptophyta; Magnoliopsida; Poales; Poaceae
Description: partial small subunit ribosomal RNA
Source: RNAcentral
AUGUUCAAUAUUUUCUUUAAAAAUGCUGGCCGUGUACUGAAUGAAAUGUAUGUGUCAUUUCCAAAAAAUGUUCAUAAACAUACAAUAAUUUUUUUGCACGUUUUACAACAUAUUCAUGACAGUUUUGAAAAACAAAUGUGUUUAAAAAUGUUCAAUAUGCAUUCUGCAAAAAUAUGCAACAUGUAUUUGGAAGAAUGUUCAAUGAGUACUUACAAAAUGUUUAAUGUUUUCAACUUAUAUACAAAAAUGGUCAACAUGUGUUUAGAAAAGGUCGACAAUGUAUUUGAGAACCAAAAGAAGGGAAAAGGAAACAAAGAAGAAAAAAAAGUAAAAAGCUGA